Molecule: ribosomal RNA, 305 nt
Filed under: uncultured bacterium
Lineage: Bacteria
Description: bacterial SSU rRNA
Rfam family: Bacterial small subunit ribosomal RNA
Source: RNAcentral
CGCCUACGGGACGCAGCAGUGAGGAAUAUUGGUCAAUGGGCGGGAGCCUGAACCAGCCAAGUCGCGUGAGGGAUGACGGUCCUACGGAUUGUAAACCUCUUUUGCCGGGGAGCAAGCGUGCGUUCGUGAACGCGCGUCGAGAGUACCCGGAGAAAAAGCAUCGGCUAACUCCGUGCCAGCAGCCGCGGUAAUACGGAGGAUGCGAGCGUUAUCCGGAUUUAUUGGGUUUAAAGGGUGCGCAGGCGGGAGAUCAAGUCAGCGGUCAAAUUGCGGGGCUCAACCCCGUACUGCCGUUGAAACUGCAU